Non-coding RNA from Megalopta genalis, 4430 nucleotides. The record is from RefSeq and is a predicted model, not a curated record. NCBI's taxonomy places the organism in Eukaryota, Metazoa, Arthropoda, Insecta, Hymenoptera, Halictidae.
GCAAAAUAAAGAUUUUCAUCAUUUCUCGUAUCAAACAGAAAUUAGAUAAAAAUGUGUUUCAUCUUUUAAUGAUGUUAAUACAGCGAAAGUAAUACUACAGUAUUUUUAAAUUCUUCUUUUGUCUAUUCAUAAACAUUAUUGAUGAAAGAAAUUUGUUUGGGCUAAUUGUAAUUAAAAGCGCAAUUAACGCUUUUAUGUUACUAAUUAUUGUCACAAAAAUUUUUUAAAUCGCCAUUAUUUUUGGUCUUUGAUAUAUGGUAUUAAUAACUGAUAAAGAUCUUGAAUUAAUAAUGGUUUGGAAACAAUAUCUUCAGUGUAAUUUCAUUAUCUCGAUUGUCGUCUCAAUUUUGCUUGUAAGCUGAAUCAUCCCCCGCCCCCCUAAAUUCUACUAGACGUGAUCGAACAUCUUUUGUACAAGGUGACUCACCUAACUGUAAUCAUCUAAAUAUCUUGUUCAAUUACAAUUGAAUACAACAAUAUAAACAAUAUUCUAUAUGCAAUUUGAAUUAUAUCACAGGAUGAAUACGUUGCACAAAAUUUGUCUGCUUUAUCAGUGAGAUUAUCAAUAACGUUUUUGUAUGUAAAUGUGUAUCUUCUUCCCUGUUGUCUAUUAUAGAUGACAUUAAAAGCACCAAGGAAUGUUACUAACAUAAUUUUAAAGUAUUCUUUGACUUACAAAGUCAAAAUCAAACCUUGAAACUUGCUACAAAAAUAUUAUUUAGUGCAUAUUCGUCUUUCGAUACACCAUAAAAAUAGUAUACAAAAUACUUUUUGUAUUAUCACGACCGAAGAGGAUAUCAAUUGCUAUCUUUAGGUGCACCACCUUGCGCGGAAAGUAGUAUGUUUUUAAACUAGGUAAGGAGAAUUUGUGUUAGCAUCAGGUUUAACAGUUUCGAAACAUUCCGUAAAUAGAGCAGAAUAAAAAUUGUGUAUUUACCUUCGACGUAUGUAAUUUUGACGGACCUUUUUAUUCACAGAUCUGACCAGGUCUGCUCCUGUAAAAGGUACCGAAGGUAGGGGCGGCGCAGGCGGAGGUUGUGGCGCCGAUUGGGAUGCAGCUGACUGAGUAGACAAAUUUUGCUGACGUUGUUGUUCCUGUGCAGCUCCUCCGUGAGGACUGGGAAGCUGCGACGUAAUAGCUACGGGUUCACCAACCGCGACCCAUGUGCUACAAGACCUUGAAGCAUGAUCGAGUCUGGUAUGCUCCAAAAGCAAAGUACUUCGUUGGGCAGUGUCUAAGGUCAAGGCAGAGACUGCUGUUCGCAGUCCGCCUGUGUCCAAAGCAUCCGGACUUGGUAACUGAGAGACAUCACUCGUACUGAAGCUUUUGCGAAUGCCAAGCGCGGACGAUAGCAAACCGCAACUACGGAUCAGUUCAUUUUCUUCUUCGAACCAAAGAAUUUCUGGUAUAUCCGCUGGCCUGAAGCACACCAAAUCAUAGACGAUUUUAAGUGGAAAAGUAUUUGUGAACGGAACACAACAAAUAUAUUUGCAUUGAGAGACGUUUCAAAGUCAGAGAAAUAACACACCUGGUAGUUUGAAUUUGACGAAAAUCUGGUUUCGGCGAUGGACCACGGCCAGUGAGAUGUACAUCGGUGUAAGAUUUGAAGGUAACCAGCCUAUUACCGGCGCCCCGUAAUUCGCUUGCUAUCGAGGAAACACUAAAUAGAGAAAGGUCGGUCGUGACGCUUUCAUGACUCGGUGAUCUUAACAUUCGUGGAGUUACUUGAAGUGCAGGACACUGUGUAUUAGUUACACUGUUGCAACAUUGUAUAUGAGCCACCACUGGUAUCGGCGAAGCCCGUUUCCCUUCGCCCUCGGACAUUUUGAAUUUGUUCACUUUUCACUCCCGAGAGUUUUACUCGUAAGAACGCAGAGAUUCUUUGCACCGAUUUUCACAAUUGAUAAUCAUUCUCCUUUACUCGAGAUAAUACAGCGCAUAGUGUGAGUUGCAUCUUAGGAGUGGUGUGUUCGAAUUGGAUCUCUGAUUUAACUUAAAAACUUCUAGGCUUUUAAGAAAAAUGUACGUCAGUUAACUACUUCCAAAAAUACUAAUAUAUUUGAUAAAUUCGUGAUCGACCGUUGUUACUUGUAAGGGAUUACAAAAGAAAUUGCGAAGGUUUACUUUGUCCCACUUAUUUUGAAUGAACCAUUGAAUUAAGAAUUUACCGAAAUAACAGAAAAUCAUUGUUCAAUUUAAAUCGUUAUAAUUUGGCUGAUUAAAUUUCGCGUUUCAAAGUAGAUCGGUAGUCAUGUUUCUAAGCCUGUUGUUAUUCAUAUUGCCAAGCAAUUCGUACAAAGUGCGUAAGACAUACUGGAACUUUGAAGCGUUGUGAUACUCAUGUUUCUAUUCGAUAUGACAUAAUUUACGCGUCCGUAGUCUACUCGGGAUACCUGAAAAGAUAAUAAAUAUCGUGACGUUAAACAUAAAUGACGAAAUUAAAUCAAUAUUCUGCGAUCUUGAUGUUAUGCAGAACUAUGAAUAAUCUAUAUAAUGCAAUGAUGACUAAACUUGUCUUACACGUGUUUCUGAACUACAAAUUGUACCAUCAUUUUGCUUAUCAACUUAAGAUAUUUGUUUUGUUACCACACACACACACACACACACACACAAACGAAUCUUCUACUAUCCUCAACACUGAGGAAUUUUUAAAACUUGAAAUUUUGAUAAUUAAAAUGUUCAUAAUCAAUUUGUUCAAUGACACGAUCCUCUUUAUCAUUACUAAAUGAUUCAAAUUCAAUGUGUCUUAUAACAUCUUGAAUGGGUUUAAUUUUUCUUUUUAUUUAUUGAGAUAUAUCAUUGUCAAGAGGGAUAAUUUUUCGUCCAAUUUCAUUUGAGAACAUUUUUGGGUUACCAUACAUUUCUCAUGGCUUUUUUCUACUUUCCAUCAGUGCACAAUUUUUCACAACAUAGUAAAACAGAAUAAAAAACAGCACGGUACAAGUUUCUUUGUGAAUCCUUUCUGUAGAAAAGUGUAACCUCGAGAAAUUAGUAUUUCUUUUUCGAUAGAUUAAUUCGAAUUACCUACUCAAACUCAUUUUUGCAAAGGAUAUUUUGAGGAAAAAGCCUAAGUAUGCUACAACGCGACAAUAAAGUUUUAUAAUUUUAUCAAUUAUCAAUGCUUCAGCAUAAAAUUUGCGUGAUACAUAUUAAGAUGACUUUUUGAAAUUAUAAAUCUUGUUUAUAACAGUUCAAAAAGAACAAUGUGAUGAGUUACACAUUUUUAAUUACACUUUCAACCUUUAUGUACAUAAUACCAGCUGUGUGUGUGUUUCAUGUUGGCAAUUGCUACAAUACUCCAGUUAUGAUUUUUAAAAAACUGGCACCUUCUAAAUUCAAACCUCAUCACCCAAAAAGUUUGAAAGAUUUAUAGGAUUUUUAUUAGUGCAUCGAGUUCUACAAAUCCGAGAUGAACGCGUUUCAAUUUUUUGAACAGUUAGAACUUUAUUAACUUCAGAAAUUAAUCUCGAAAACCCUAAAAACAGAAAACUGAGGAACUCUUAAGGUACACAUUCUUUACAUACGUCAACACACAAAAUAGCAGUAAACAAUCUUAAACACAUAAAUAAAUAAAAUAAAAAAAUUUAUUAGUAAUUCAUCAUUAAUGUACACAAUGAGAAAAAUCAUAUAUUAAAAGAUGAAUAGAAAUAUACAAUAAAUAUACAAUGUGAUGCAGAAUAGAUAGCGUUACAGUGCAGAAUGAAAUUUUUUCAUUUGAAAUUUAAAUUUCAAGAAAUUAAAAUUUAAAAAAUAUUGGCUGUUACUGUACAGGAAUGUGUUGAGAAAUCUCUAUUCAAGUCUUUCCGGCCUUUUUUCUGACAAUUAUAUAUGUGUAAACGUAAGAGAGCCGCUUCACAUGAGGAUAGGUGCGUCGCUCCCAUUGAAUUACAUGUACGAUCAGUAUUUAUCCUACGCGCCUCGCGAUACAAGCAACCUCGUGUAAGCGGAUCAAAGUACGCGACAAAUUUUUCAAUUCGAUUUUCAAAAUUUUUUAUUUUUUAUAUACUUUCACAUAUAGAAUAACCUAAGAUCCGAUUAUACUAACUAAUCCACGACAAACUAUAUUAAAUAAUCCAUCUAAUUAUCUUCUCUAAUUAUGAUGGUACGAGAAAUGUUCCUUAUUUAAUUUAAGAGUGAUUUUCAAUAGUGAAACGAAAACAAAUUAUAUUUAAUUCUCUUUUCAAGAUUACCUAUGAUUUCUUGUAUAUGUGCAUCUAAUUUAUCCAAUUGUAUAUUAUAGUCAAGUGAUCAUGGUUUUUAAAAUUAGUGUGUUACUUGUGGAUGCCAUUUCCAGUUUCGGAAACAUUUCUCAGAGGAAGUUAGAGAACAUAAUUGAGUGGCUUGUUUUAGGUGAAAUAUUUUUUUGUAUUCGUAUAAAAUAUUUUGUGUACGGGUUGUACGUUAUUAAACUGUUGUACAAAGAAGAAAA